AAAGAAGAAAGUGGCUUUGGGCAAAGUCUGCCUACUUGUAGCAGAAGUCCAAGAGGUAGUCAUCUCUGCAGGCACUGAAGAGGAUACUUUUGCUGCUUCAGAUUGCUUCAUCCUACUAUCCCAGGAAACCUGGAAUCAUUGUGGAAAUAGGAAAGAGGCCACCAUCCCUCUUGUCAUAUUUUCAGGUUAUAAGAGGGCAGACGGAGCAGAAAAAGUCAGAAAGUUGCUGUCUCUGUGGGUUGCUGCAGCAGAAAUGCUAAGUAACGGCCUGAAGCAGCGAUUGAGCACCUGGUGGGAAGGCAGGGCCAACCCAGGGGAGCUCAGGUGUAUGGAAUGCAUCUGAAUGACGUGAAGGGCUGGAGCCAGGAUCCGGCCCUUUCCAGACCUCAUUUAAGGGUUGGCAGUGGAGGUGUGGCUAUCUUGUUUGAGAUCCCUGCAUGCCAGACAUCUUUUGAAGGUAAGCAGCUUUUUAUUUUUAUUUUUGUGCCCAUGGCUGU
Long non-coding RNA from Gallus gallus (chicken), 497 nucleotides. The record is from Ensembl. NCBI's taxonomy places the organism in Eukaryota, Metazoa, Chordata, Aves, Galliformes, Phasianidae.